This is a long non-coding RNA of Diceros bicornis minor, 1801 nucleotides long. RefSeq lists it as uncharacterized. Lineage: Eukaryota; Metazoa; Chordata; Mammalia; Perissodactyla; Rhinocerotidae. The record is from RefSeq and is a predicted model, not a curated record. The transcript has 8 exons.
AGGAGCUUCUGGAAGUGUGGUUGCCCAAAUUCUCUCAAAGGAGUGGAAGCUAGAUAUUCUGAAAUAAUCAUACCCUAGUUAUUUAUCAAAUAGUUAAUAAAAUUUUAUAUGUAAACAUGUACUUAAAACCACUUUACACUCUUCAAAUGCUUUACAAAUAGUCACAAAUUUAAUCCUAAUAUAAGACAAUGAAUAGGUAACGUUAUUAUGGGACUUUUUAGAGAUAUAGAAACUAAGAUGGAUAGAGGUUAUUUAACCUUCUCAAGUGCGUUAAGCUAGUCACAUUAGAGUCAGGAUUUGAACCCAGGCAGUCUGGCUUCAACGCCAAGCUUCCCCUCAAUCACUUCUACCAUCAGAUAAUAUUGCUUCAUACUCACAGUGUUAGCACCAAGAAUGUAAGUUUAGCUAACUGAUCAUAUGAAUUUUGUUGAAAUUCUGUUUAUUUUUCUUCCAGAGAACUCAAUAUGGAACACUUUUUCUCUUUUGAUUCAGACAACCUAUGGAGAUUUUGAUCCUGUACUGAAAGGAACUGAAUGUGGAAAUUUUUGGAGUGUCCAUUCAAUGCCUCCCUGGAGUCUCUGCCAAAGGAAACAUUAGACACGACUCUGUCUGGAUCCAGCUACUACAUCUAUGAUGCUGUGGAUGUGGUGGCCUGAGCCCUCCAUGAAAUACUUUUUAUAAAAGCAGAACAGGGGUCCAUAAUGGAUGCAGGCCAGCUCAUGUUUCUCCCUUAGCAGGUUGCAAGUAAACCUCUAAUGAUUGUAGGGUCUAAUUAGCAACAGUGUCAACUCUUUUAACUAGAAAUAAUUGAUUAAAAACUUUCACUGUGAGAGGUAGGAAGAAGCAGGCUGUCUUUCUUUGUCUCUUCUUGAGCUCGAGGAAACUCCCUAGCACCCCUAAAGCAAACCUCAUUGCUCAAGGUGCAGCUCAGGUUUAGCCCCACAGCACUCCCUGGACGUGGAAUCUUCAGGAAUGGUUUAAACCUCACCAUGUGCUCUCUGAGGGCAGACAAGAAUGCCUGCUUCCUUAAGCGUGCAGAAUAGUAAACACUCCCCAAAUUGAACUUAUUCAGAGGAUGACUAAUAUAGAGGGAAAAAAAUCUAAUUGCUGGGCAACUCAGUAUCCCCACCAGUUCGAAUCUGGGUUUUCUGCCUUCAAUUUCCAUGCUCAUUUCAUUUCCCAAUUAUGUCUCCCUUUUAGCUCCACCCAUUCCUAAGAAACACCCAAUUUUAAAAAAGCACUGGAGCUCACGUGUCACUGGAUGAGAAAAGAAACUCUGUGUCACAGCAUGUAAUUCUGAACUAUAUGAUUUUCCUAAAGGUCUUGGACUUCAGGUGAAAGACGUUCUGUCAGCCAGGAUUCAGGAACAUCCCUCAGGAAGAGAGAGCUACCUGCUGCUUUGUCUGUGUAUUGUGCCCAGAGAGAGAAAUAUGUAAUCAGACAGAAAAGAAAAGUGUCUGUGGGGCUCAAGUUUGAGUUGAAACCAGGCUCAGGGUCCACCUGUCCUCGCUGAUCCGUGGAUUUCUGUGUGACCAGCUGACACCUAUGGAGCUGUGGCCCUGACUACUACCACUUUGGGGCACAACCUGAAGACCCUCACAGUCACCUUCCCCAUCUCCACCCUCCAGUAUUCAUCAGACAGGAGCAAUGGCUCAGCCACGUUCCACUCCACUGAGAGGGUCCUGCAGAGCCUGGGGAGACCCUGGUCCCAGCAGCUCCUGGUGGGUUAAAUCCCACCCAGCCCCUCCCCCACUCCCUGUCCCUCCUGCUCCUCCUCCUCCUCCUUCCUCCCCAGCUGGAU